UACGUAGGUCCCGAGCGUUGUCCGGAUUUAUUGGGCGUAAAGCGAGCGCAGGUGGUUUAUUAAGUCUGAUGUGAAAGCCUUCGGCUUAACCGGAGUAGUGCAUUGGAAACUGGGAGACUUGAGUGCAGAAGAGGAGAGUGGAACUCCAUGUGUAGCGGUGAAAUGCGUAGAUAUAUGGAAGAACACCAGUGGCGAAAGCGGCUCUCUAGCCUGUAACUGACACUGAGGCUCGAAAGCGUGGGGAGCAAACAGG
This 253-nucleotide ribosomal RNA is filed under the name uncultured bacterium. RNAcentral's name for it is "partial 16S ribosomal RNA". It matches the Rfam family "Bacterial small subunit ribosomal RNA", at positions 524 to 776 of the family's 1533-position model. The record is from RNAcentral.